RNAcentral lists this ribosomal RNA (406 nucleotides) under uncultured bacterium. Its description in RNAcentral is "partial 16S ribosomal RNA". It matches the Rfam family "Bacterial small subunit ribosomal RNA", at positions 29 to 526 of the family's 1533-position model. The record is from RNAcentral.
AGUGAACGCUGGCGGCGUGCCUAAUACAUGCAAGUCGAACGGAGUGGCGCACGGGUGAGUAAUAUAGCUAAACAGCUCCUUGCUGGAGGAAAACAGUUAGAAAUGACUGCUAAUACUCCAUAGCAAGGGAUGAGUCUAUAGCGUAUCAGCUAGUCGGUGGGGUAACGGCCUACCGAGGCUAUGACGCGUAACAGGUCUGAGAGGGCGAGCAGUCAAAUUGGAAAGGAGACACGGGCCAAACUCCUACGGGAGGGAGCAGAAGGUAAUAUGGCGCAAUGGGGGAAACCCUGACGCAGCAACGCAGCGUGGAGGAUGACUCUUUUCGGAGAGUAAACACCUUUUGUUAGGGACGCGGUACCUAACGAAUAAGCACCGGCUAACUCCGUGCCAGCAGCCGCGGUAAUAC